GAGAGAGAGAGAGAGAGAGAGAGAGCGGGAGGGAGGCGCGCAUGCAGACACAAGUUGUGCCUCCCUCUUCCUCCUCUGCUCUUCCAUGAGGAGAAUCAGACAUCCAGUCUGGAGCCGUGUGGGGGGGCAAGAUGCUUUUUCUUCAGGCCAUACUGAAAAGAAGGCUGCUGCAGAAAGGUAAACACAUCCUUAGAAAUGACUCCUGAGUAUUAUUAGUAUUGUUGUUGUUAGUUGGAUGUUUGUGAUAAAUCCCCCCCCCCUGGUUCUCACUUUGAAGUGCCGGAUGAGUUGCGUCGGGAGGGGGGCUGCUGGUGCCGUGGGUUCAUCACAUCAGUAAUAUAAUAUAAAUGUUGUGUUGGUUGUUUGUUCGCUGUGAUUCAGUAUAUUUUUUCUUUUAAUAAUUUUAGCCCUCUAAAAUAUUCUUUGCUUCAUCUGUGGGAACCGUGGGGGUUGGACCUUUAGAGCUCAUUGGUCCUUGGUAUGUUUUAUUCUAAGGAAAAAGCUGCAUUUGUUUUUUAAAUAUAUUUCUGGUUGUUCUUAAAUUGUGAUUAAUUAAAUGACGUUAUGGAAUGAAUUGAAUUGAUUGCGAGUUCCAGCAGCACUAGUUGUGUUUUAAUGGUUAUUCCUCACACAGUAGUGGGGCAAUUGGUUUUUAAAUGGAUCAGUACCUUUUCAUAAUGACUCUGGGUUCCUUUUUUAUGGAAACGUGAUGUUUCUUUGGGAACUAACAGAUCAUUAAAAGUGGCCUCAAAUCAGUUUCUUUCCUCACCUUCACUAUUUCAUGUAAAUUUAGUCUUUUUUUUCAAUAAUCCUCCUGACUGCGUGCACGAGGCGUCCGUGUUUCAGCCAUAGAGGUGUGCGGUUCUUCCCCGUCUCCCUCUUCCUCUCAUUUAUUUAUGCUUUGGGGAUCUAAUACUUUUGAAGCCUGGAGACGCAGUGGAGAAGUCUGCAAAUGGGGACAAAACGCCCCCUGUCGGCGGUCAGGCCGCACUGCAGGGGGGGGGGGGUAAAGCUGUGGAGGACAUAAUUCUCAUAUUUGCUGCCUCUGUCUGGUGUUUAAUAUGUGUGUCACAGUUUUACCGUGUCAGUAAAUUUCCAAAGCCUCUCAUGUCUCCAGAAAGCAGAGAAACCUCUGACAGCUCACAUUUCACUGCAAUAAAAAUAACUGUGACUUCCACAAUCACUUUAUGUGCAACUUCAGCAACGGAGAAUCACCCGUGAGCAAACAUCAUAAUAAUGUGUUUUUAUUAAAUAGCAUUUAAACAAACACAUGCACUGUAAUGUAGAUGAUAAAACCCAGAGCGUGCGUUUCUUUUCCUUCGCUCUCCCUACAGGGAGGUCAGAGGUCACGAUUGCGUUCAGAAGGUCAGCUGCGGGUAGUUGUUCCCCUGCGGACAUGAGGAACUUGAAGCGACUUUUCCUUCAUGGCGGCGUGCCGCUCCGAGUGAGAAGUGUUCCUUUGUUCGGAGUGAAAACCCCCCGAGUGCCUCCCCUCGUUGUGCAGGAAGCCGGUGACGGUUCGUGCGGUGGCUCUGAUUUUGGUGCUGCGGGGGCCACAGGUGGGCUGUGACUUCUUUUUAUCCAGCGAGUGAAAGUCUCUCUGAAGCUCAGUAAUUCCAGGACCUGUGAAGUGAAACCCGUCGCGCUCCCAACCUGAGGGAAUGGAUGUGGCCCUCCGGAGGCGAGUUGCUUCUUCUGGACGCCUGAUGUCCUCUGAAAGAGUCCAACCAGACUUUUGGUCUAAUUUCAUGCAUGGGGUGUAUUACCAUCGUCAUCAUUCGGACUUUUACUUCCUAUCGUGGAGGGAAGCGGUUCGUUGAGAUGAGAAGGUGAUUCUUCAGCACUUUCAUAACAUCACCGAGAUCUCUCCUGGAUUUGUCCGUUUCGGUCUCCCUGCAGAGGACUGGUGAAGCAAGUUCAUUUCCUGGGAUGAUAUGAGACCAGCGUGCUGUAAGCUGAGGAAACACAGUGAUUCCUGUUUCAGAUUUCACUAAUGAAGCCGUAUUAUAUUCUAUUUCUGUCAAUAGAUUCUGAAAAAUGUUUGCUACCAAAGUCCCUAAAGUCCGUCCUUAUUAAGCGUUUUCACCAAAUAAUCAGUCUGUAUUCGUUCGGUACUUUUGGCUGAAGACUUUCAGCUCUUGGACCUUCAAGGGACAAACAGGUUCAUCUUUGAAUGCAGCAGUGACCCAUAAUCAUAAAUAUGUUGGCAAACAUGUGAGAUUUGAACGUUUGGAAUUGAUCUCCCCAGGAUUCUACAGUUUUGCAUGAAUAAUGCGUAGAGGAGGGACUUCUUUCCUGAAGCGAUGAGUAGAAUGAUGUGUUUUGACUGCGAGGACUGAAUGAUUCAGCAGAAGGAACUGAUACUGAGUCGCUGUCCAACCGGCUGAAACCUGAGCUGAGAUGAUUAAUAUAUGACAAAGUUAUGCAGAUUUCUUUCUUUUUUUACAUUAAUCCUUUUCAGGAGUUUGAAACUUCUUCUUCACUCCAUCACAUCUUUUAAUGACGUUACACAUCAAUCUCCCCUUUUUUCUUCGUCUGUAGAGCAACAAUCUCCCACUCGUCCCUCACUCUCCGUCACAAUUUAUUCUUAUAUGUCAUUUAAAAGUCGUAUCUUCUCAGAACAUCCUCAAACAUUUGACUCGGUCCUGCACUCUUUUUCCUUCUCAUUAUCAUUAACCUCGUUGCAUUUCCCUCUCCUUACCCCCCCCCCUCCUCUUCCUGUCUUCCCCUUUUCCUUUCCUCCAUCGCUCCUCUCAGCAAUGCAGAUGUGUUUCUUUGAUUUUGUCACCAGAGAUUAAUUAGUAUUUUAUUAGGAGUCCUAUUUAUACCUCCAGCAAAGAGAAGGAAAAAGGAGGGAGU
Molecule: long non-coding RNA, 2859 nt
Organism: Gasterosteus aculeatus aculeatus (three-spined stickleback)
Lineage: Eukaryota; Metazoa; Chordata; Actinopteri; Perciformes; Gasterosteidae
Source: Ensembl